AACCCUUCCUUUCGGGAAGGAGCGCCCAGGCGCCUCGGAAAAAUGGCAGGGAAAUUUCAUUUAUAUCCUCCUAACCCGGCCCUCGGUUACUCCCCGUCAUCAUUUCCUUCACUGUAGUGCUUGACUUUUUAUUUUUUAUUAAAUAUGUCUAAGCAGAGAUUUUAAUUGUGCAACAGCUCAUUUCCCAAAGGAUUACAGAGGGCUGCUGUGUCACCUUCCUGAAGGAUCCUGCCUUUAACAGCCCUCCCUGAAGGGCUCCUUCAGCCUCCUUGAGAAGCCACAGCCCCCUGAGGAUACUAACUUGAGAGGAUUUAAGAGUACUGUUAAUAAUGCCACUUCUGUGGAAAAGCCAUAACCAUGAAGGAAAACAGAAACAGGAAAUAAUGAGGAAAACUCUGUGUAAAGCAGGAGAAUUCUCCAGGUGCUCUGGAAAAUGUCAUUGUUCAGGACAACACAGAAGUCAAAAUGAAUUCCCCACGACUCGUGCAAAUGUUCGAAGUUAA
RNAcentral lists this long non-coding RNA (503 nucleotides) under Cyanistes caeruleus (blue tit). RNAcentral's name for it is "lncRNA (ENSCCEG00000016998.1)". The record is from RNAcentral. Lineage: Eukaryota; Metazoa; Chordata; Aves; Passeriformes; Paridae.